GACAGGCUUGACGAUGCUGUUAGUAUGAACAGGUGGGUCGAAAAUAACCAGGACUGUGUAUUUUUCUUUGAAGAUUUUUCCGAUAAUGAUACCUUUGUCCUGGGCAUUCAGACAGAUUUGCAACUACAGCAGAUGAUUCAGUAUGGCAACCGCAGUUUACUGGCUUCCGAUUCAAAGUUUGGAACAAACAAGUUAAAGUAUCCUGUACAUAGCAUCCUUGUUUUCGACUAGCAGAAAAAUGCAAUUCCUGUUGCUUGGAUCAUAACUCCCAAUUUUACACAUGGUGAAAUACAUAGAUGGAUGGGUGCUCUAUAUGAUCGUGUUCGUACAAAAGGCCCGACAUGGCAGUUGAGCGGCUUCAUUAUUGAUGAUCCAUUGACUGAUGUGCGCACUAUAAGGGAAGUGUUUCUGUGCCUGGUGUUGAUUUCCUUAUGGCGUGUCCGUCACGCUUGGCAUAAAAAAUUGAUGAACAAGUGUUAAGAUUUUGAGAGGCGUUCAAUGAUGUCUAAACGACUUGGGGAGGCAAUAUCCAGCAUCUGCAGAGGAAACGGUGAUAUAGAAUUAUUUCAGGCCUUCCUGGAAGAUUUUAUUGAUUGCUCUGGCUUUGUAGACUACUUCAAAGCUCUAUGGUUUCCAAGACUUGGGGCAUGGACAAGCGUCUUGAAGACCAACCCGUUGGCUACUGCUGAGGUAGCUUCAGCAAUUGAGAGGUACCACCACCUGCUAAAACUUCGGCUGUUGAAUGAGGCAGAUGAAAGCAUCUACCAACGUGCAGACUGGUUGGUUCACAAGUUGGGUACAAAGGUUCACUCUUACUAUUGGUUGGAUGAAUUUUCUGGGAAGGACAGUUUCUCUCGCUACUGGAGGAGUGAGUGGAAAACCGGCCCAAACCCAUUGCAGCAGGGAUUGCAAAUUCCAGAUUCUGGUAUUGUAAUUGAAGGCAAUUGUGCUAGAGUGGUCUGCCAGAAACACAAGGAGAAGUCCCAUGCCGUUCUGAACCCAAGCUCUGAGCUUGCAUUGUGUGACUGUAGCUGGUCAAGGAAGGGAAACCUUUGCAAGCAUGCAAUGAAGUCGGCUAAGGUUUAAUAAGUUAUAUAACAGAAAUAGAAUUUAAUUUGUGUAUGGUGUGGAUUCCAAAACUAAUCAGCUUCUACUGGAACGCUCGCUUGUACUCCCUCCGUCCCAAAAUAACUGUCUCAAGCUUAGUACUAGAAUUUAUUUUGCGACGGAGGGAGUACUAGAAUUUUUCUAAAGCUAAUGGAAUCCCCUUGUACUCCAUCUAAAGCUUUCAUGAUGACUACUUUUCCAAGAUACAUGUGACAAAGAGGAGGAGCUCAGGGAGCUGAAUGUGAAAGGAUAAAGUAGUCAGGAAGGAGAAAUCAUAUGUUGGCUUAACUAAUGCUUCCUAAUCAGAACAUGAACCUUAUGAUGACCCAUAGUUGGAUGUAUGUGAGAGACAUCCUUGAUGACUGGGAUUCUAGGAAGACGAUCACAUACUCGACCAGCCCACCUGUCACCGCGAGAAUCAUCCUGGUAACAAUAAAAUCUACAACCAAGAACAUUUGUUUGUGUCAGACAUCUUUAAUAACUGACGUGGAAGUAUUGACAGUUCUCCACAAGCUAAUUGUUUGAUGUGAUUAUCUGGUGGUGCUUUUGCUCCAGCUUCAAUUGCAUUGCUUCUGCUGUAUUCAUGGACUCUUUUCCCUUCGGUCAUUGAUUGAACCGAGUUGAUUCUGCAUAGCCGCAUAGGGAUAGGUACUUUUGAUAGUCUACUAUACAAAAAUAUUUGGUCAGUUAUUACCCUCCCUAUGUAUCUAUUCUUUUUCAAGUUUGAAUUGUUAAUAUAUCCAUUAGAGGAUUAGUUAUCCGUCUGCGCAAGGACCAAUACAGGUUAAGCACCCAUUGUUUUAAAGUAGAUUGUCUCUAUUCUCAUGCACGUGGACUUUCGGGGUAUGGAUACAAUGAAGUUCCACAAUGAUUCUCUUAAUUUCUAGGUUUCAGUAUCUUUUA
Molecule: RNA transcript, 2010 nt
Organism: Hordeum vulgare subsp. vulgare (domesticated barley)
Lineage: Eukaryota; Viridiplantae; Streptophyta; Magnoliopsida; Poales; Poaceae
Exons: 7
Source: RefSeq, a predicted model, not a curated record